UAAUCCUUAGAGAAGAUGGGUACCCCCAGUGGGGGUUAAUAGGGAAGCCGGUUCAAGGCCGGCACGGUCCCGCCGCUGUAACCGGGGACGAAACCUGCGGUAAGCCACUGUUUCUCAAAAGGAAACGGGAAGGCGCAGGGAUUAGGAGGAUCCGGGAGUCAGAAGACCUGCCCAUCAGGCUGGCCCGCG
RNAcentral lists this non-coding RNA (189 nucleotides) under Deltaproteobacteria bacterium. Lineage: Bacteria; Pseudomonadati; Myxococcota; Myxococcia. The record is from RNAcentral.